UCCGGUUUGGCACCGGCAGUCUCCCUAGAGUUCCCGGCAUGACCCGCUGGCAACUAGGGACAAGGGUUGCGCUCGUUGCGCCACUUAAGGCAACACCUCACGGCACGAGCUGACGACAGCCAUGCACCACCUGUGCAGGCUCCGAAGAGCGCCCGCUUUCACGGGUUCCACCCUGCAUGUCAAGCCCAGGUAAGGUUCUUCGCGUCGCAUCGAAUUAAGCAACAUGCUCCGCCGCUUGUGCGGGGCCCCGUCAAUUCCUUUGAGUUUUAGCCUUGCGGCCGUACUCCCCAGGCGGGGUGCUUAAUGCGUUAGCUUCGGCACGGAGGGGGUCGAUGUCCCCCCACACCUAGCACCCAACGUUUACGGCUAGGACUAC
RNAcentral lists this unclassified non-coding RNA (376 nucleotides) under uncultured Actinomycetes bacterium. RNAcentral describes it as "uncultured actinobacterium contains 16S-23S intergenic spacer region". The record is from RNAcentral. Lineage: Bacteria; Bacillati; Actinomycetota; Actinomycetes.